RNAcentral lists this long non-coding RNA (1629 nucleotides) under Homo sapiens (human). Its description in RNAcentral is "HSALNT0027547". The record is from RNAcentral. Lineage: Eukaryota; Metazoa; Chordata; Mammalia; Primates; Hominidae.
CAGCUCUGUUAGUCAGCUUAGGGCUGGGGCAGUGAGGGAACUCGGCCAUAUAUCUGUCAUCGUCCAGCAGAUCAGCCCAGGCUCUUUCACACAGGGGUUGGUAGGAGGAUUCCAAAAGCAGCAAGUUAAGACAAGCUCCCACAGAUUUCUCACACCAGGUGUUCAAAUCCCAGAGAGAAAACUUCCUCUUUUCAGUCUGACAUUUUCAAAUGUGUUGAUACAUACCCGAUGGAGUGAUUCUGCAGAAGAUGGUGCCACUCAUAGCUCCAACCUGAAUGAAGUAGCUCCCCGAAUUCUAUUUAUGUCAUAAUGAAUAUAUUCAACUUAAUUUUGUCAAAGACUUCAUAGGCGCACCUGCAGCUAAGAGUGCAGUAUGGAUCUGGAGUGAUUCUGAAUUUUCUUUCCACAAAAAUAAUUUUGGCAGCUUGGGAUCAAUAUCUUCCUCCCAUAUGUUUCAUAUUCUCUAUAAAGUAUAAUUGAAGACACCCUUCUCAACAGUACUUCUCAGUACGAAUACAUUCAGAAAUUCUAAAUAGGUAAUUUGAAAAGGAAGGAAACUAACAUUUGGCGAGUGUUUUCUAUGACAUUCCAGGGCUGUGUGUUAUGCACCUUUGCAUAUGUCAUUUCAUUUAAUCUGCACAACAAUGUGAGAACGACGAUGUCAAGCUUACUUUUGCAGGACAGGAGACUGAGGCUCAGAGAGGCUAAAAUACUUGCCUAAGAUCACACAGUCAUUAGCGGUACAGCCAGGAUCGGAAGCCAACGUUGUCUGACUCCAGAGCUUGCUCUGUUGUGUGUGCUCUCAACACUACAUCUCUAAUUCUCCACCCCUCCCAAUCCCAAGCCUCUCCUUAUUGAGAAUAUGGACUAAAUCUUUGGGGGAAAAUCCAAAUGCUGACACCAAAUCUAGAAAGAGCUUUCUUGGACUGGACUUUGAAGGAACAUUUUUGGCUCAAACUUACACUUGGACCACAUCUACUUCAUCUUUAGUUAAUCGGCUUCAGUGUUCUCAUUUCCUUGUGUGUAAACGGAAGCAAAGUUGGACAAGGAUGUCCGUGACCUUGGACCAAAGGAGACUUUCACUUUAUUUGAGGAAAUCCUUGUCUUCCUCCAGGAGAUGAGAAGGAAUCGGUCCCAGCCCAGGGAGAUGGAUUCUUUCCUCUGCUGCUCUGACAGCCAUCUCGGCAACUCUCCCGACCAAACUCCCCAGGCUGUGGCGUGCCCCGCCGUGUGGUUCCUGUUGGGAGGCAAGGACAUGUGCUGGAUGUGUAUGCAGUCUUUGAAGCUGGAGAGGCCUGUGUUGGAAACUGUGCUCUGUCCCAUGCCAGUUCCCUGACCUUGGGGGACGACCCAGACCAUCAUUCUUCUCUGGUCUGCCACCUUCAUCCUCCACUUGCAGCCUCCUUUGCAGUGACCAUACAGGUGCAGAGCAUGAGCAGGAUGCACAGGGGUUUAUGUGGUCAGGCCUGCCUGGAGUUGGCACAUAGCAUUUCUGCUUCCAUUCUUAGGUCUGAAAUCCAGGUCACAGAGCCCUAACAUAACUACAAAGGAUCCUGAAAAGUGUUGUAUUCCAGUGUGCCUCGGAAAAGAAAAUAGGAUUAAUAAACUUUGAUUAGACUAAAUCAUUGA